GGCAGCCAUGGUUAGUUAGAGUGUUAAACCGUCGGAUUCUCCGAUUGAGUUCUGUGUUAAUCCUUUUUGUUUUUAUGUAGGUGAAGUAUUCGAAUGAACCAGAGAACCCAACCAAAUCUUGCAAAGCUAGGGGUUCGGAUCUCAGAGCUCAUUUCAAGAAUACUAGAGAAACAGCGCAUGCCCUUAGGAAGAUGCCUUUGAACAAGGCAAAGAGCUAUUUGGAGGAUGUUCUUGCCCACAAACAAGCCAUCCCCUUCACCCGCUUUUGU
Molecule: unclassified non-coding RNA, 269 nt
Filed under: Hevea brasiliensis (rubber tree)
Lineage: Eukaryota; Viridiplantae; Streptophyta; Magnoliopsida; Malpighiales; Euphorbiaceae
Source: RNAcentral